RNAcentral lists this ribosomal RNA (461 nucleotides) under uncultured bacterium. Its description in RNAcentral is "partial 16S ribosomal RNA". It matches the Rfam family "Bacterial small subunit ribosomal RNA", at positions 338 to 795 of the family's 1533-position model. The record is from RNAcentral.
CCUACGGGAGGCAGCAGUGAGGAAUAUUGGUCAAUGGGCGCGAGCCUGAACCAGCCAAGUCGCGUGAGGGAUGACGGUCCUACGGAUUGUAAACCUCUUUUGCCGGGGAGCAAGCGUGCGUUCGUGAACGCGCGUCGAGAGUACCCGGAGAAAAAGCAUCGGCUAACUCCGUGCCAGCAGCCGCGGUAAUACGGGGGGUGCAAGCGUUGUCCGGAAUCAUUGGGCGUAAAGAGUUCGUAGGCGGCACGUAAAGUCUGGUGUUAAAGGCAGAGGCUCAACUUCUGUACGGCACUGGAUACUUGCGAGCUAGAAUGCGGUAGAGGUAAAGGGAAUUCCUGGUGUAGCGGUGAAAUGCUUAGAUAUCAGGAGGAACAUCGGUGGCGUAAGCGCUUUACUGGGCCGUAAUUGACGCUGAGGAACGAAAGCCAGGGUAGCAAAUGGGAUUAGAUACCCGUGUAGUC